GGACAGUAUACCGUACAUACAUUUUCAAUGGAGGGACAGAAAGCUCUCGGACUAAAUCUAAAAUAUCUUAAACUGUGUUCCGAAGAUGAACGGAGGUCUUACAGGUUUGGAACGACAUGAGGGUGUCCAACUAAUGCAGAGUAUAUUCAAGUUGCCAACACACGAUUGUGAAGUACCCUUUCCAGAGAAAUAUAAAGGAAAUGACUGUGAAACGUGUGUUGGGGAGGAUUCAAUGUCUGUUGAGAACCAUGUGAAUGUGCUACAAAGUGAGUAUCAGAAAACACCUCCAGACACCUGGACUGUCAAAGACCACACGGCAGGAACAUUCUCCUGGAGAUGCUGAGAAAGCACGGAAGGAAUGUCUGUGGAGGAUGUACUCAAAAAACACCCAUACUUAAGGACACCUGCUGGAGGGGACCCCUACUACACCCUUUCUUACCAUACAACUGAUGGAUACUGACUGGAAAAUGGCUAUCAUAGGCGGAGGGUUCAGUGUGGUGACAGAAGAUGGAAUAGACGUGUGCCAGUGCACCAGCCUUGGUGAAGCCUCUAUAACAGCCUUCUGUAUGGUUGACUGGAAGUAUGUCAGUCCAGAUGUGAGGAAGACAUACAGAGUGGAGUUGGAUGGCUGUGGAGUCAGCAGGUGUGAUGGCUGUGGAUGCAUCUACAAAAACACCACUGGAUACUGUAGCCAUGGAAAGAAGGGGGUAUUCACAACUUUCUAUUCAGACAAAGAGUUUGCUGGAUUCUGUUCUAUGGACUGCUACUACUGAAUGAAUGAAUGAGUGGUUUAUCUAUCUAUCUAUC
Molecule: long non-coding RNA, 807 nt
Organism: Cyprinus carpio carpio
Lineage: Eukaryota; Metazoa; Chordata; Actinopteri; Cypriniformes; Cyprinidae
Source: Ensembl